ACUGAACCAUGAAAAUGAGGUCAAGGUCAGAUGACACCUGCCAGUUGGACAUGUACACCUUACAGUCCUUCCAUACACCGAAUAUAUUAGCCCUAUUGCUUAUAGUAUCUGAGAUAUGGACUUGACCACCAAAACUUAACCUUGUUCACUGAUCCAUGAAAUGAGGUCGAGGUCAAGUGAAAACUGUCUGACAGACAUGAGGACCUUGCAAGGUACACACAUAUCAAAUAUAGUUAUCCUAUUAUUUAUAAUAAGAGAGAAUUCAACAUUACAAAAAAAAUUUGAACUUUUUUUCAAGUGGUCACUGAAACCAUGAAAAUGAGGGUCAAGGACAUUGGACAUGUGACUGACGGAAACUUCGUAACAUGAGGCAUCUAUAUACAAAGUAUGAAGCAUCCAGUUCUUCCACCUUCUAAAAUAUAAAGCUUUUAAGAAGUUAGCUAACACCGCCGCCGUAGCCGCCGCCGUAGCCGCCGCCGCCGCCGCCGGAUCACUAUCCCUAUGUCGAGCUUUCUGCAACAAAAGUUGCAGGCUCGACAAAAACAAGAAUGUGUCCACAGUACACGGAUGCCCCACUCGCACUAUCAUUUUCUAUGUUUAGUGGACCAUGAAAUUGGAAUUAAUUCUCUAAUUUGGCAUUAAAAUUAGAAUGAUCUUAUCAAAGGGAACAUGUAUACUAAGUUUCAACUUGAUUGGACUUCUACUUUAUCAAAAACUAUCUUGACCAAAACUUAAUCUGAAAUUUGCACUAUCAUUUUCUAUGUUCAGUGAACCGUAAAAUUGGGGUCAAAACUAUAAUUUGGCAUUUAAAUUAGAAAGAUCAUAUCAUAGGGCACAUGUAUACUAUGUUUCAAUUUGAUUGGACUUCAACUUCAUCAAAAACUACCUUGACCAAAAACUUUAACCUGAAGCGGGACAGACGGACGAACGAACGGACGAACGAACGGACGAACGAACAGACGGACGGACGAACGGACGCACAGACCAGAAAACAUAAUGCCCCUCUACUAUCGUAGGUGGGGCAUAAUAAAAGAACCAGUCAAUUGGUAACGUUACAGUACAAAAAAGAAAUUAAUGUGUUUUUAAAAAAAAAAAUAAUGUAUUUAUUUAUCUUUUUAAUUUGAUUUGUUUGCCAAUAUUACUUUUUGUAAGACAAAUUAGAAAGGAUUUUUUAUUUAUUUGAUUUUUGUAUGCCAAUAAAAGUUCCAUAUGAUGUUUUGUAAAAGAAAAGAAAUGAAAUACUAUUAAACCUUUUUUUAUGAAAUCCUAUUUAAAACCUUUAAAAGAAAAAUAUAUUGAAAGAUUUACCAAUAUAAGUUUUAUAUAAGUUUAAAAAAAAAAUGAAAUACUGUAAAACAUUCAAAUGAAAUCCUAUAAAAAAAACUUAAUAAAAAUGGGUGAGUCUAGCAUUCUUUCUUCUCUCCUCUAGUGUUGGCUAUUUUAGUUUGUGAAGUAUGGAUUCAUCUGAUGAUGUGUUGUGGUACCUGUUUGUUACAUACCUUGCUGAUCUAUGCUGUACCAUUUCUUUGUGUAGUAAUACAUAAUCAACUUAUAUUUUGUCCCAUUUGGAUCAUUUGGUCAGAAGAACAGAAAAAAAUGAACGAAAAGGAUCUAUUACACAAAACAAGCUCCAUCUCAUUGACAAAUCUCUUCAUGAAUAAAAGUGCAACUCAUAAUAGUUUUCUGUCAAAUUCACAUUUUUAUUAACGGUUAAAAAAUUUUAAAAUACUUUCAAAUGAUUUACAUUACAUUAACUAAAUGUCAGUUGCACAUUUUAACAUGCUAUGCUAAAUAAUACUACAGAAAACCUAAUAAUGGUAUAAUUUUCAGUCUUAUUUUUUACCUGUCAUUCAACCCAAACUCUAACUGAAAACCCUUUGUUCUUAAUUACCUUUGAUCUCAUCUAUCCAACUUUUUUUUUACCUGUACUACCUACAAUUUUAAAAGGUUGGAUAAAUGAGAAUGAUCCAAAAUUAAAAAGAUCAUAUCAUAAGGAACAUGUGUACUAAAUUCCAAGUUGAUUGGACUUUAUAACUUUAUCAAAAGCUAGCUUGACCACAAACUUGAACCUGAAGCUGGACAGAAGGAUGGAAGGGCAGACAAACAAAAGAACAAAUGAACAAAUGGAAGGACACUAACACCUGAUCCAAAUUGUAAAAUUUUUAUCUAUUCUAGUUCCUUGACUUUAAAUAUGCCAAAAUCUAACUGAAAUUCAUGUAAAAAAUUCAUAAAGAUCUGUUGAUAAAAUCAUGAGAUGUUGCAAUACAUGAUUGGAUGGACAGAGUCAAGGGUUUACCAUAUAAUGUACGUGAAUAACCGGCAUAUAUAAGAUUGAAAGAUCAAAUCUGAAAUUACCAACUAAAUCCAGCUUAUAUAUGGAUAAUCUAAAGGUCACUACUUGGACAGUUGAUAUAUAUCAAGGAAAUCUUUCUUGUCAUUUAUGAAUGAAGUUUUUCUCAUGUGAUAGUGAUCAGUAAGAACUAAUUGACCACUAAUUGAAAGCUUUCAUGGAAGGCCACAUUUUUGUAGCUAAUAGCUUUCUUUUUUAAGAUAACAGAAAAUUAAAAUUGUCCACAAGAGCAAUGCUUUUAGAUUUGAAAAAAGUUAAAUGGGCAACAGUAAAGAAAUCUACAUAGAGUUAAUCAUUUCCUUAUUACCAGUAACUAAAAGCCUUUAAAUAAUCGUCAAAACAAAACUUCAAUUAUUUUCAUGAACGUACAUCUUCUUCAAAUGAUAACAAUUGUAAAAUGCAUGUAAUUUUUUAUCUUAUUCUACAAGUUCCAAAAAGAUUUUCCACAGCUCUGUAACUAUAACAUGAAAUAUGGAUUUUAAAGGUUACAUGUAACACAGAUAACCCAAAGGUUUCUUCUGAAAUUUGCUAAAAUUUGCUAAUCAGAUAUUACAGAUAACCCAAAGGUUUCUUCUGAAAUUUGCUAAAAUUUGGUAAUCAGAUAUUACAGAUAACCCAAAGGUUUCUUCUGAAAUUUGCUAAUCAGAUAUUUAAGUUUAUAUAGAAAAGUAUUACUACUGUAUACCUUUUUGUAUUAUAUCUAUAGACUGUUUUCCUUUGUAAGGAAGUUUAAGGAUGUGGAGACAGCAGAGGCGGAUUUAGGAAUGGGGGGGGGGCAGGGGGCCCCGGGCCCCCCUUUUUGGGAGAAAAAUUGGUUGCUUAUAUAGGGAAUCAUUGAAGCGUGACUGGAGCGGGACCCCUCUUAGGUCAGUCAGUGGGCCCCCACUUAUGAAAAUUUCUGGAUCCGCCACUGGACAGACAUGUGACAGAGUACAAAUUUCAACUGGAGAUUUGAACAUUUUCAGCUAGAGAUUCGUGCUCAUAACUUGAGAUUUUUAUCAACAUUUUAAUGGAUGUUUUCAGAGUUCACUUUGAUAAUAAAUUUUUCCCUGUUCAUACUAUCUUACCACAUUUCCAUAAAAAAAAUUUUUUAAAACUUUUCAAAACAUGUAUAUUUAUAUCUAAUCAGUUAAUUAUAGAUAAAAGACACAUUCUUACCUUAGAUUUAGUUUUGCAAGUCUUUUCUGUAUAUAUCCGUUUAAACCAGCCUAAAAAACCAAAAAAGUUCAAAAUCAAUUCAGGAUUUCAUCUACAAAUGUCUUAUCAAUUUUCCUUUAUCAACUUCUCCUAGAGAACAAACACUGAAAAACUUUUUAAUCACAUCUAAACAAAGCUAAUUACCUCCCCUUUCUAGUGUGAUUUAUUUUGACAAAACAAAUGCCAAUUUACAUGCACAAUCAUUUUAGUAAUUGACCAAUUAAAUUGCAUGUUUAUCGAUUCAGACUUUAUUUGACAACGCAGUAUUUGAUAACCUAAAGAUGAGGUAUGAAUAAAAUACCAAAAUGUUUUUUUAAUUCAAAUAAACUUGAUAAAGUAAUUAAUAAGGGAUCAGCUAUUUUAUGAUGUAAGAUUCAAUUUCUUUUUAUCAGAUCAGAAAUUAUAGAAUAAUCAAAUUUUCUUCCUUCAAUGACGGAGAACAAACAAAUAAAAACUAAGAAGGUAAACAAGCUUUGAAAUAUCAAGGCAUAUCAAACCAUAAGAGCACUUGAUCCUAAUAUUUAGCCUCUGACAACAUGCAACAUCAAAGAUGCUAGGGUACUUAUAUUGAUGUGAUUUUGUUUACUUUUAAUAUUCAUCUCAAAGGUAUAAAUCAAAUAGAAUAUCAAUACAAUUAAACAAAUAUCAAAUGUCUAAUAUUUUUCUGUUCAAAGAAAUUUACAAUAGUUGAUUUAAUUGCUUUUUAAUAUAGCUUUCAUGUCACAAUUAAAAUUCUUUUCAUGAAAAAUAAUCAUUAUGAGACCAUUGCAAAUAGAAUAUAUUGCUGGACUUUGAGUAUGCUAAAAAUACAUCAUCAAGCAUAAACAAAAUCUUUUGAUAAUGAAGGGCAAGUGGAUAAAGGCUACUUUGACCUUUAAAAUUUUAUCUUCAAAGCCAUUAAAAUGACAUUUGCAUCUUAAGACAUCUUGCAUUAGGAACCAAAUGAAAUCUAAAAAUCUUGAGUAGAUACUUCAUGCUUUUCUUCAUUGAAAUUCUGACCUUAUUUAAAUAAUGUAAAAAGAGGUUGACAAAACAAAUGACUUUGAAAAGACUUCAUAUUUAAAAAAUCAUUGCAAUUGUUAAGGCUCUUAAAAAACAUGUUAAUAUAUAAGAAUUGCAUUGAAGCUCAGUGAAUAAAUUUGUGAUUGUUCUAAAAGUUAGAACCAAAUGGAAAAAAAUAACAGUGGGGGAUCCAGAACAUUUCAUGAGGGGGGCAGGCUGAUUGACCUAAAAAAAAGGGGGGCUCCAGUCAUGCUUCAGUGAUUCCUUAUAUAAUCAACCACAUUUUUCCCAUGAAAGCCCCCCCCCCCCUUCCCCCCCGAAAUCCUCCUAGGAUUAAAGUCAAGAAACUAAAACUCCAAAUGCCAUAAUAAUGUGUACUUUUUCAUCCCCUUGUAACUGACCAGCUUUACAUUAAGAAACUUAUUAUGUUCCCUGUAAAACAUUCUUGAUGUCUACAUUAAUUGUUGAGAAUUUGUAUUGAUGGCUGAUGAUGGCAAUCUAUAAUAGUCUCUAUUAAAGUAAUUCACUUUUGAAGACCUCAAGCCAUUAUUCAUACAGGCUUGUCUAUUGUUGCUGACUGUAUCAUGUCAUCACAUUAGCAAGACAAUAAGUGUAUACUGUCCUUUGAGACUAUAAUAGAGUUCAUGUCAGGUUGCUUCUUUUUUCUAUACAAAAAGAGAGCUAUCCAUCACAGGCCAGUUAGUACUAAUUUUUUCCUUCAAUAAUACAGAUAUCUACAGAAACUCAAUAAAUGUUAUAAAGUCUUGAUAAAUAAUUUUUUAUGCCCCACCUACGAUAGUAGAGGGGCAUUAUGUUUUCUGGUCUGUGCGUCCGUUCGUCCGUCUGUCCUUCCGUUCGUCCGUUCGUUCGUCCGUCUGUCCCGCUUCAGGUUAAAGUUUUUUGGUCAAGGUAGUUUUUGAUGAAGUUGAAGUCCAAUUGACUUCAAACUUAGUAUACAUGUUCCCUAUGAUAUGAUCUUUUUAAUUUUAAUGCCAAAUUAGAGGGUUUACCCCAAUUUCACGGUCCACUGAACAUAGAAAAUGAUAGUGCGAGUGGGGCAUUCGUGUACUGGGGACACAUUCUUGUUUUGUACUGUUUUUGUGAGGAUCAUUUGUCGGUGUUCAUAAGACUACAACCCAAUAAACCAAAACAAAAGAGAUAAUGUGGCUUUGGGUCAUCUGAGUAACGUUCUGUGAAUUGUCAAAUACUUGAAACAAAAUGACCUUGACACUCCUAUUUUCUACUUAAUAAAAAAAGAGUGAGUCAGCCGAUUUUAAAAGAAAUUGGAUGAAAGUCCAUUUGGUAAGAUGAGGGCUUCAAAAAAACAUUGAUAUACUUGUUUACUUAUAUCAUUCCCCAUACAAUAAAAUUUGUUCUCUAUAAAUUAUGUUUGUUAAAAGUAUAUGGUCAAUUAUGUUUUACAAAAUACAAAAUUCUGAAAUCUAAAACAGAUAUUAGUAAAACUUAAGCUGGAGUAUAAAUCCAUAAAGGUAAUUAUCUGGUAAUAUUUCUUAGUUUGUUUGUAGACAGACAAAUGUCUUCUGUCUAAUGUAAUUAAUAUUGUAAAUUGUUUAGACCUAUCUGGAGAAAGGGAAUUAAUUUCUCUAAAAUACAAAUUAAGAUUAAAUUCAGUUUUUCAAGUUUAUUUGAAGGUUUUUAUAAUGUCUUGCAGUAUAAGUAAUCCAUAAACUACAUUUAUCAGCACUGAGAUGUCUAUUUCAUUGAGCAUACUUCUUGUACGGGAAAUAUCUAUUUCUAUGAGUAUAUCAAAUUUCUGUGAUAUACCCAUGUUAUUGCAUAUAUUAGAGUUAACUAUCUAUCAUACUUUACAGUCUAUUAGUAACCUUUAAGGUUCCAUCAUGGCUUGGUUACUUUGUCUGACAGUCUGCAAAAGAAAACAACUAUAUACUACCAUGUGUACAGUAUUCAUUUUAUAUGACAUCUAUUUAAAACUCUCCCUUUCGUGUGAACUAGGAGCAAACUUCGAUAUAUAUCUAAUGAAACUAUGCAAGAUAUACAAAUCUUGUAUCACUGUAAAACAGCCUUAAGGUAGAUCAUAAGUAAAUGUUUUUUGAGACAGAAUUGUCUUAUAAUUUGCCAAAAUGAAGAUUUUACUAUGAUUUUUUUCAAAAAUAUAAUAGAAAGUAUGGGUCCCCGUGCUAUUUUUCGAGCUAUGAGUCCUUGAAAAUUGCCUAAAUUUGGUUAGUUUGUUCAUGAAAAAACAAAUAAGAGAGAAUAAAAAAUUUCUAUAAGAUGGAAUUUUGAAAUAAACUGUGAGAAGAUAGGUUUCAUAAUAUGUUUUAAGAAAAUAAAAAGAAAACACGGUGUAACCUAACUUGUUUUCUUGCCACAAGUGAAAAUAAAAAAUGUCCCUAUUAGCCCAGUAUAAAUUUUGUACUAAAAGAGUUAUCUCCCCUUAAAUGGCUCAUUUGAAAAAAAAAAGAUUUUUAAAGCCAAAAAGAUUGAUAUUUGUUAAAAUAUUUUGAAUAAUAGUAUAAAUUAACAAGUUUUCUUUACAUAAAUAAACAGUCUAACCAUUAAAUUGCAAAUCUGUUCCCAAAUUUACUGAUUUGGGCAAAUAACUAGACCGAAUUUGUACUGUGAUUGUACAAUCCAAGAUACCAUGAAUCUACCUUAAUUAAGAAUAAGCUAAAACAAAACAACAACAAAUAUAGAUUUGCUUGUCUAGUAUCAGUUGUAUCUGCAAGAUUUACUGUGUAGAAAAAGUUCACAUCUGAAUGACUGGUAGUCUAUUUUAAGUGUUUUAUAAAAAAAAAAAACUCUUACGCAAAUGUAGUAAAAUAAUAGAUCAUAAAAGUGCAUAUAAUCAUAUCAUAUUUAGCUUGUCACUUUUAAAGUUUUAUUACAGCUCUUUAAUUGGAGUAAUUAACAGUAAAACAUACAUGAGUAUUGUUCUCUACUGUUCAAUAACUGUAAUUAAAAUGUCGCAAUAAUACAAAUAUGAUUUUUAAUUUUAGUUUCUUGUGUAUAAUUCAGAGUUUAGUAUGACGACCAUUAUCUCUGAACUAGUAUAGAUAUUUGUUUAGGGGCCAGCUGAAGGACGCCUCUGAUUGCGGGAGUUUCUCUCUACAUUGCAGACCUAUUGGUGACCUUCUUCUGAUGUCUGUUCUAUGGUCGGGUUGUUGUCUCUUUGACACAUUCCCCAUUUCCAUUCUCAAUUUUAAAUAUCAACCAGUACUGCUGUUAAAUACAAACACAUUAUGUUAGACCCCGUUUACACUGGCAACGAAAUUGAAUCGAUCUUUAUUUGAAUCAAUCUUAAAAAGACCAGUUCGCGUUUACAUUGCACAUGCAAGAUCGAUCGAGAUCGAUCUUAAUUAAUCCAGUGCUUUUACACUAACAUAAAAAGAAUCGGUCUGAACUUUAUUUUCCUAUCUAAAUAUAACAAACACCUGAAAAAAAGAUCGAUCCAUCGACCUAAGUGUUUACACCAAAAAAAAGAUCAAUUCAAAUAAGAUCGAUUUUUUUAAAACCACCUCUAGAGGUAGUAAAGAUCGAUCUCUUUUGUCAGUGUAAGUGGGGUCUUUGAGUACUAUAAAUGUUGGCCCUACUUAAAGAGAAAAAAUAGAGGUCCACAAGAGCCUGUAUCGCUUACACUGCUUUUAACAAAAUUGCCUAUAAAAUAUUUUUGAGAUGAGUAUGAUUACCAUACAUGUCAUACUGAAACUCUUAGAAUUACUUUUUACUUUAUUUAUAUUUUCAGUAUCAACCAAACACCUUGAACAAUCAGAUGCUGAUGCCGUCAUUUUUUAUGGCCAGACAUGGGAAAGAUUUAUCUUCUCUAGUCUAAUUUGGCCAUACUUGGAUUUUAGUUACUCCAACUUUUCACUUCUGAAAUCUGAAAUAGUUUGAUCCAUCAGAAUUCAUGACAGCCAUCUUGGAUUACAGAAUAGAUAAGAAUGCUAUUCAAUCUUUAGCCUGCUGCAAUAUUGUGAUUAUUUUUUUAAAGCAUUUGAUCUUAAAUUAUGGUCCACUCACAGAUCAAAUAAAAUUGAUAAGUUUGAAAUUUCCAUGUACGAUUAAUUGAUUUGCAAUGAAAACAUAUUCUAUACCUAUCAUGUAUACUGUUCUGCACACCAGACAGACAGUUUAAAAGAUAUAUAUUUUUUUGCAACCAAUCCAUUGUCAAAUAUUGAUGAUCUACCAAUAAUUCAAAAAAUAGUACUUAAUUUUUAAAGGAGAAUCUUUUUGUGAAAGUUAACAAACAAAGGGAGACAACAGAAGCCAAUGCAAAAGCUUACACUGGCACCUUUGAUUACAUCAGUCCGAAAAAGACAAGUAAUGAGUGACUACAACUCAACAAAAGUUGGUCAAGUAAAAUGAAAGAAAACCUCAUUAUGGGUCUUAUUACUUUCCAUUUCAAAAUUUAAAACCAUGGCAAUCAGAUGGCAAAGCCUUGAAGUAUAAUAAAAAAAAGUAAUUUCUUCAUGAUAUGACAAAUGUCUUCCCGGAUUAUGGUUUUUGAAUGAAAAGCAAUGGAAUAAUAUCAGGAACAAAAUGAAAAACAUUAACUAUAACUUUCCUUUUUUUUUUGAAUCAGAUACAUGUCAGCAUAUAAGAUGCUUUAAUCCAUUUCCACAAGAAUCCUAUUAAAGUUCGGUUGUUAUCUUUGGUUCAUGUCUGCCAUAUUUCUUUUUUUUUCAUUAUUCCUUUUGUUAUAAAUCUUAGGCUGUAGGUUUUCUUGUUUGAAUUCAUUUAAAUUAUAUAUCUGACUAUACAGUAUCAGUUUUGCUCAUUGUUGAAGGCCAUACACUGACCUAUAAAUGUUUACCUGCACAUCAUUUGGAAUCGGGUGGAUAGUUGUCUCAUUAGCAAUCACACCACAUCUGCCAACCAGUCAAGGUCUUUCAAACCUCCAUCUUAAGUACCAAUCUUAUAUUGAUAUUUCAUGCUUAAAAUUAUUACCAGGAGUCCAUGAUUAAUGGGUUUGAAAAUUUAUUGGAACCAGUCAAUUCCCAAUGAUUUCCCUCUGUUCAACUCAUCUUCACAUAUAUUCUGUCCAAGAUAAUACAGAACUAUCACUGUGAUUGUUAGAACACUAAUGACAGACAGUGUAAUGAACCUGUUCCAGACUUUGCAUGUCUCUACCAAUAUGUAAAGCAGAAUUCUAAUAUGACGUGCUUCUUUCGCUUUGUAAACAACACCGUGAUAAAAUUCUCGAUAUAUCUAUACUUGGCGCAGACUCCAAGAUGUACACAAAUGGCUGUUUAAAUAUGCCUCCCACGUAAAUCCACAUGUAUCGUAACCUAUGUGUAAACGGUUGUGGAUUUCGCUGUUAAUUACAAUUGAAUAAAACCCUACAGAACAUUUAUUCUGAUUCUGACGCAUAACAAAAAGAAUUUAAAAUUCCGCGAAAUUCCAGUAAUGAUUUUGGCGCAUUAACGUCAUUUCAAACAUGACGUCAUACGAAUGAAAACGUCAAAGCUGAAGGUUUUUCUAUUGCGUUUACCUUCUAAACUCGGAGAGAAUUGCAUUAAAAUAAAGUACUCAGGUAGAUGUUGCUUGUUUUUAUGUUCUAUUGCAUUAUUCGCACAUUUACUGAUUUCAGCAAGUCAACAUGGUGGCUCCUUGGUUACAACAUGUCAACAGUGAAUUUGAUGGUAGUUACGAUAAAAAAUGUAAAUUUAAAACUUUGCAUGUUGGGUUCUACCAGAAUGCAAAAAAAGUAAUCACAUUUUUUUCUGUGGUUGUUAAGAAAUCAUAAUGCAGGUUAUUAGAUUUGUUUUACAUUUAUCGAACAGUGUAAAUAGAACAGCACACACAUGUAUACCAUCAUCGCUUCAGUUUUUAAAUGAUCGUAUUUGUCCAUUAGAAUUGUAAAUAAUUCAUGAAGCCAUAGAUUUGUUGAAAUUUACACAUGGCACUGGGCAGUGAUAUUCGUUAAUUUUAUCUCUCGCUAAACACUCAGGAUAAAAUUCGAAUAUCACGGCCCAGGCCAUGUGUAAAUUUCCAACAAAUCUAUGGCUUCCAUGAAAUUAUUUCUUAACUAUUACUGUGGUUGUUAGAACACUAAUGACAGACAGUGUAAUGAACCUUUUCCACACUUUGCAUGUCUCUACCAAUAUGUAAAGCCACAAUGUUGAUUACACUUUCCAUUCAAUUACUUAUAAACAAUGAUAUAAAAUUGAAUUUCAGGAAAUCCUUUUAUCAAUAUAAAAACUGAAUAUCCUAUUAAAUUUGAGUUUAAUUUAGAUUAAGACAAGCAAUUCAAUUUCUUAUCAAUUCAUACCAGAAAGUAUUAAAAUAUCUUUUGUUUAGGUUUUCUAGUGGUUAUUUUAAUUGACACCUGAAGCUAUUGCAAUCAAUCCUGAAGGGUUUCAUCCUGCAAAUAUGCAUGAAACCUUUGCCACUGGACAUUAAACACACAACAAAAUCAAUCUGUAAAUCUUGUAUGGUUUUAGGAAAAGAUUAAAUUUUUAAAUUUCAUUUCUUAUCUUCAUAUUUAUGGCAAAAUUGAUAAUAAAAAACUCACCAAGGAUACAUAACUUUGUACACUGGACAUGCAUUAUGUAUACAAAAGUCUAAGACUCAUCAUUGAUGAUUGAAUAAUAAACUUGUCAACUUAGAAAUAAAGUAAAAAGUGAAAAUCUCGACAUGUGAUGUUUCUUAAGAGUCAGGGUAAAGCAAGAUUAUUCACCUAAAACUGUAACUAUGAAAUAAAGAAAAAGAGUUCAGAUUGAGAAAUUUUGGCAAAAGUGAAAUUGGAAAGAAGAUAAUUUGUAGAAAUGGGGAACCACAAACAGUUACUGUUCUUUGAAGAAUACAAUGAAUAUUUGUGAAGAAUUCAACUCUUGGUAUGAUUAAAAAGAGAUGUGGUGUAUAGUUGAAUGAUUGAUUGUUGGUGUUUAAUGCCACUUCAGCACAAGUGGCUGCAUCGUGGGUGACAGUUUUUGUUGGUGGAGGAAGACAGAGUGCAUGGAAAGAAUUACUACCUUCGACAGGAAAACAAGCAAUCCUGGUCAUUUCAAGAUUAGAGUUGGAUGCAUCUGCCACUUGCUGGGUUCAAACUAUUGCAUCACAUCCACAGUUUUGACAGGCUAGUGAUGAUGAACUACCUAAACCACUCAGGGGACCCUCUAGGUCAAUGUGACAAAAGUCUUAUAAAACAUUUAAAACAGAAAAUACAUCUGAGGUCAAUAUGAUACAGUGCUUUAUAAUGGACAAGAGUGUACUUUAUACCCAGUAACCCUGUAUCCUUUAAAUCUGGACAAGUUGUGAAAAGUAGUGGCCAGAUGAAAGAUGUGCAUUAACACCCAGCCGUUUUGACACAAUCAAUAUUUGUUAUAGACAAUAUAUUCAUAACUUGGGCAAACUUUGUGAUCAUAGAUUACCUAAUCCAAGCCUCAAGUUGCUGAGAAAUCAGUCAGGAAAAAUAAUGUUUGGAUUAUGCUGUUUCAGAAUCAGGUUAAUGAAAGAUAUUUACACAUCAAUAUAAUGCUAAUUGUCAAUUUCUUUUAUCAUUCUAAUGCAUAGCUACUGUAAAAUCUGUAUGAAACAUUCUGGUAUAAUUUUAAAAGGAAAGGUUUAAAAACAGAUUUAUUUGUAAACAAGUUGAGCCUGUAAAAGUAUUUAUUACAUUUGGUGCAAUGAAAUAUGGUGAUUUCCCACCAAAAUAAAACCUGAUAAUUUAACAUUUGAAAUAAAUCUGAUAAUUUCACUCCUCUGACAUUGUAUAACAAUGGGUAUUGUCAAGACAUCGUGAUUGAUGCAGCAUCAAAACUAAUUGGAAAUGCGUAGAAAAAGAUAAAGUUCCUGGUAUCCAUUAAAAAGCCAUGGUCAAUGUCAUAAAAAGAAUAACUUAUUAAUGAAUUCAAAUAUAGAAAAACAUUCAAUUUGUGACCGUACAAGAAUGAUAAUUAACUCAUGAGCUAUGGGGAUUCAUGAAUUAAUGUGUUGACCCAUGGAAGUAAUAUUGAAAGGAAUAACAUCGUCGUCACUUCAAAGGUUCAUCUGCGUUACCGCCCAUCUUUCGAUAACUCGUUAAUUGGUUCAAUAUCUGGCAUGGAAGUUGAUUCUCCGCAUGUGAUCGAUCAAAUCACUGACACUUAUCGGUCAUUUUCGUGUUCACGGAGAAUUACGAACAGACAAGUUUUUGUCGUAUAUACGUGCGAAGUUACCCAAAUAGUCCAUUCGUUACAUUCCGUUGAUGUACGCUGCCGAAUAGAGUCAUUCGUUCAAUUUUUAUUUUAGUCCAUUUUUUUCCUAUUUUUGGUUAGUUUGAUCUUAAUAGUUUAAACCGACAGCUAUCACAUACGAAAUUGGAGAACAAGGCUGGGUCACUUUCAAUUUUGAUAUUUAUAGACAGUUAAAAAACCAUUUCCGUAAGUUAAGAAGAUGAUUGUUAAAAAAAUACGUUUGGACCCCCUUUAUUAAAUACGAAAAAUCUAAGUCUUUCGUGUAUUAGUCAAUUAAAAUAUUCACAAUUCUAAACGGUUCUAUCCUUCAAUUUAAGUUCUUGAUACAUAAACUAAUUUGUGUAAAAGUGAAUUUGCCAUAAUACAGAGCCCAUUUCGUCGGUUUGUUAUAAUUUUGCUGUAGCUUGUUAUAUUAAAUGUGCAUUCCACAAUAAACAUUUGUAAAAAAAAAUAUAUAUAUUUACGAAAAUUUUAUCCACUUUUUAGUUGUCCAGUUUCAAUAAUGUAAUGACAUUUAUGACAUAUACAUAAAUUUAAUACUUGAAAGUAACUAUCCUUUUUUCAAUCUCGAUAAACUUUGCACAUUUCAAAAGUAAAAAAAAUUAUGUCUAGAUUUGCCUACAUUAUUUUGUUAGGCAUCAUGUGAAACCUGAUCGAUUCAUCGGUAUUUAAUUGUUUAACUCGGGAUCCGCUUUUAACCGGAAAAUACUUUUAAAACAGUUUAAAACAAACGGUAAAAAGCAAAAAUAUGCUAAAUUAUAUACAAUUUUCCAUGCUAAACUGCUGUAGUUUGAACAAUUCUCGGCCGUUUUUCAAGUUUUUUUACAUCAUACGACUUCUUUCUGAAGGUACAGGUUUUAUAUGAUACAGCGCCACCUUCUUAUUAAUAAACCUCAGAUUUCACACAGGUACUUUAUAAUUACCGGACUCGAUAAAAUCAUGUGACUGAUAAGAAAUUCCAGAUGCCAUUUUACAACCGCGGUAUCACCGAUAGUAACCAAAGGGGUCUUACCGCUGAGACUAUAAUUGGAUAAAAUCAUAUGACUUUAGUACAGGGCUCUGCCGGCCGUUAAUACAUGCUAAUUAGUCGAUGUUAUUCCUUUUAAAUAUUACUUCCAUGGUUGACCGUUCACUUAUUAAUAUACUACGAAUAAAUCAACAGUUAACCUUGAUAUCUCCAAUACAAUGUUUAAUGACAAAGAGAAGGACAGAGUUUUGACAGGCUAGUGGCACAUAAGUUAAACUAAUGGGACAACUCGACCAAGGCCCUUAAGGGCUAAAUAAAUUUACCUCCAUUUUGUUGGUGGCUAUUUCUUUUAUCAACAAAACUUUAAGUGUUUAAUACUUAAUCAAAGAAUAUAUCUUCAUUUAAAACAACACCAUUAUAGUGGGUGCAAUUUGAUAACAGUAAUAUAAUCAGGACCAAACAAUUUAUAUGUUAAAAAUCGGCUUAAUUUCUGUUGACCACAGAAAAAAAUUUAAUUAAAUGACCAUGAUAUUUUAUGUAUAAUCAAUCUAGUCACAUAAAGCCGACAGUCGAAAGCUCAUUACAUCAGAUAUCUUGUCUAUAAGAGAUCAGGUGUUAUUAUCACUUCUAGGAAGACAGAUUGAUGUAACUCCAUGCAAAUUAAAAAGAAAGCUAUAAAUUAGGGAACAGGAAUAAAGAAAAUAGGGGCUAAAAAUCAAUGGACAGCAACCCACUGACAUAAAUAGCAUAAGGACAUCUAGAGGUCAAUAUAUUGAAUCUACAAAAAAGAAGAUGUGGUAUGAAUGCCAAUAAGACAACUCUUCACAAGAGACCAAUUGACACAGAAAUUAUAACAACUAAAGGUCAUUGUAUGGCCUUCAACAAUGAGAAAAGCCAAUACAGCACAGUCAUGCAGCUAUAAAAGCCCCCAAAAUGACAAAACUUAAAUAAUUCAAACCACCUAAUAUUCAUGAAGUCGACACAACUUGAAUAAAUCUAUAUCAUCCCAAAGCUAGAAAAAAAUGUGAAUAAAAUUUAAUAGGGUACAUCAGAUAUCUGACAUCAACAUGAAAUUCUGCUGCUAACAAAAACAUGCUGUUCUGACAAAAGUCAACAAUUGAAAAAGGUGUUAAUUGGACAGUUUCAUGUGAAAUCAUAACACACUACUGACCUGAGUCUGUCAACUAUAUAUGGGAAAACCAAUGUUGUUGGUUUGCUGUUUCAUCAAAAUAUACCAACAUGUUUAAUUCAUUUUCAAAGGAACACUAAUUAUAAGGCCAUAGAUUUUUUAUUAUCCGCAUUAAGCAUCAUAAACAAUGACUGAUCGAUUGUUUUCCUAAGUAGUUACAGUUUUGCAUCAUAUUUGUCAGUAUAUCACUAUUGUAAUGUCAACUUAGUAUCUUAGAGGACAUUUGGCAUAGGGAUCAUUAAAGAUGAAAAGUCUCAUUGGCGCUACUCUCGUUGACCUAAGAAUGUUUUCCAUGUCACAUUAUAAAAUCAAUUAUUCCUUCUUACAAUUUUUCUUAACAGAUUUUUUGUAUAUGAUAUCAUAAAGUUCCACACAAAAAAUGAAGAAGAAAAAGGCAUUAUUUGAAGAAAAUUUGGUCUUCUUAUUUCCACAACCAUUGUGACUAACAGAGAGUACUUUCAAUCAUUGCAAUGAAUAGUACUCUGCUGAUAUUGAACAUUAAGAUAUCUAUUCAUAUUGCUAGUAAUCCUUUGUUCCAAUGACACCCUUUUCAAACCAUAGUCAUAUAUAUAUGCUGAUUUAAAAGCAAGAGAAAAUAUGAAAGAAAUAAAUAGGGGAAAAAAGCAUCACCACAAAAAAGUGAUCGAAUUUAGAACUUUUAGAACCUUAAUAGCUGGUAUAGACCUUGAGAAAAACUGUUUGGCCUCUGCUGGUAUAGACCUUUGUCAAAACUGUUUGGCCCCUUUUUAUAAUUAAAUAAUCAAAGUCCAAAGUUUCAAUCAGCAUCUAAUAUAUUUAGGGUAAGCCCCAGUUUGAUUCAUGACCAACUAAUGCUGUAUGGAGAAAACAAUUAAAAUACAAGUUUCUUGAUGUUACUUAUUAUUUUUUUUCAAAUUCACUAAAAAGAAUUUUAAAAUCAUUAUCAUGUUUCAAAUCAUGUGAAGUUUAAAAUGAAAAUUUAUUACAUUUUGUUGACACUUAAAAAAAUAGCUACUUCUGUCAAUUACAUACUUUACUUUUGCAGAUUAACCAUUGCAAUUCCAUAAGUACCAAUACUGGUGGUUAAUCAACUUUAUAUUAAAAGAGCCUUACCUAAGUUAGGUCUGUUAUUGUUCUGAACUGUUAUAUCCAAUAGUACCACUACAGAGCCUGACGUCAAUAUGUAUCAAGUAUGGUUAAGCUUUAAUGAUCACUAUAAUGAAAUACCACACACUGUCAAUUACUAAUUUUGUACAGGAAGAAAAUGGAUCAUUCUUUAAAAAAUAACGAAGAUCUCACGACAAAUCAAAUAGAUUGCUUUGUCUGAACUAAUGGUGAUCAAAUUACACCACAAGCAAUUAUAUAUUUUUUGAAGUUCAUAAAAAAAAUUUAAAAAAAUCUUUAAAUCAGUAGCUUCCACCAAGACAUAUUUGCUCAUAUAUCAAAAGUUUUUUCCAAAAAUAUUCUAGAAACAAACACAGAUGUUGCUUAAUCUCCUCUUUAAAAAUCAUGUGUUUUGCAGAGAUGUUUGAAAUCCUUAUAUAUAUAUAAUAUAAUUAUUUUCUGUGACUGUAUAUUACAUUAAUUUGUAGGAUCCUUUACUAUAGAUAAUUUAGCUGAUCUGUAACAAUAACAUCUUCAUGCCUUAUAUAUCAUGUACUGUAGUACGCCGCUAGAUUAAAACUGACGAGGAAAGGUAACACACGGCCAGCGAAAGCUUUUUUUUUUGAGAGCCCAGGUGGUCGUGUGGUCUAGCGGGAUGGCUGCAGUGCAGGCGAUUUGGUGUCACGAUAUCACAGUAGCAUGGGUUCGAAUCCCGGCGAGGGUAGAACCAAAAAUUGCGAAAGCAAAUUUACAGAUCUAACAUUGUUGGGUUGAUGUUUAGACGAGUUGUAUAUAUAUAUAUAUAUAUAUAUAUUUUACAAAAUAAAAACAAAUAUCUCGUUUUCAGGAACCUCUCAAUGAAUGUUGCUUCGUAGAUGUUUGAGCUUUUUUCUUGUUUUUUUUUAUUGACAGAAAGAUGUUUUAAUGAUUUGGUGGCAGAGUUUCUUACUUUUCAAUUUGAAAUCAUUACCUGAAAUAUUUCAUCUAAUAUAUACAGGUUUAAUACCAACAAAGCAUUGUACAUCACAUUUAGUAUGGAGUAUAGUUACAGAUCACUGUCAGGCUAUUAGUUUUCAGAGGGAGAUAUGAUUCCUGAAGCAUACAGAAGUAUUCUUUUACAACUUGUAAAGAACCAGGGCAAUUUUAAGCUAAACUCAUUGAAUUUCGACUUUUAUUGCUGUUGGAAACAGUAUGUCAACCUCUAUACGUCCUUUUAACCUUUAUUCAGAUUUUUGAUUACUGUCUCAUUGAUACAUUUCCAUAUACUUCUUUAUUCAUAUAUCAUGCAGGCUUAAAGCAAUUUUUUUUCAUUCUUGUUUGGAUUUCUGUGAGGUGUUUUUUUUUUUUUUUUUUUUUUUUUAAGUUUAUUGUCUUUUUUUCAUCCAUGAUAUUGUUGGUCUUUCUCCUACAUACCUUUUUUGAUUGACCCUUGUUCUCUUAUAUCUUUUGAGAUUCAUUGAAUUUUCAGCUAAUCUGCCAGGUUUUCUAAAGGGUCAAAUGGAAUCUACAACAAUAAUGAUACAUUUUAAUUUCAAGGAUGGUUGGUUAACUAUACAUGUAUAUUGAAAGACAUAAAUUUGAGAAUGGAAAUGGGGAAUGUGUCAAAGAGACAACAACCCGACCAUAGAACAGACAACAGCAGAAGGUCACCAAUAGGUCUUCAAUGCACUGCGAGAAUUCCAGAUGUGAGCAUCCUAAAAUUUGAAGGGGAAAAAGAAUUUUCCAGAUUUUUCAUGAAGUUUAAUAGGUAGGUAUUAAGAUGCUUUUCACUGUACAAUCUUAAAAAAAAAAAUAACAAAGAUUAAACCAGAGUUUGCAACGAUGUAUUUCAUGAUGCUGUAACAGGUAGAGUAGGAUUCAUCCUAAAAAAAAAUACCAUUGUACCAACCCGAAUAAUUCAGUCCCUCCCCGUAAUCGAUCUCUCCAACUUACGAGGUUAAUGUAGUAAUCGUAGAUCAGCGAAAACAACUGAAUUGUUCAGGUUACCAUCGUACCAGAAUCCUGGACCCCAUGUAGUUAGGUCAAGGGAUGUAACUACUUUACUUCCCCAAUCUCAUUUGGAUUCAUUAUGGUAUAUUUGGUUUCAAAUCGGUGGUAAAACAGUUCAUUUGAUUUUGAGAUGGAGUAUUAAACUUAAUAAGCAGAGCAUGAUUUGUCUCACUGUUGCAAGCUAUGGGUCAAACUGGAUCCUAACAGUAAACCAACACAUAACAAGAGGCUGUCACAACGACAGCAAACCGGAUUUAUUAACAUUUAUUUGUGUCCUGGCAAUAUCACAAGAACCAUUACUGAUGAAUGGUGAAAGUGAAAAUUGUCAAUAUCAAAUUUGUCCUCCAUUUUGUCAUCAGUAUCAACAUAUUAAAAUUUGAAAAGCUUAGAUGGAAUGGUUCACGAGUAAAUGCAACAACGUGAAUGGAAACGCCAUUUUACGAUCUUUCAAGAACCAUAACUCCUGAACGGUAAAAGUCAAAAUCGUCAUUAUUGAACUUGACCUCUAUUUUGUCAUCAGUAACAACAUAUUAAAAUUUCAAAAGCUUUGGUUGAAUGGUUCAUGAGAAAAUGCACGGACAGGACAGGAAACACCAUUUUUCAAUCUUUCAAGAACCAUAACUCCUGAACGGUAAAAGUCAAAAUCGUCAUUAUUGAACUUGACCUCCAUUUUGUCAUCAGUAACAGCAUAUUAAAAUUUCGGAAGCUUUGGUAGAACAGUUCAUGCAUAAAUGCACGGACACGACUGGAAACUCCAUUUUUCAAUCUUUCAAGAACCAUAACUCCUGAACGGUAAAAGUCAAAAUCGUCAUUAUUAAAUUUGACCUCCAUUCUGUCAUCAGUAACAACAUAUUAAAAUUUGGGAAGCUUUGGUAGAACAGUUCAUGCGUAAAUGCACGAACACGACUGGAAACUCCAUUUUUCAAUCUUUCAAGAACCAUAACUCCUGAACGGUAAAAGUCAAAAUCGCCAUUAUUGAACUUGACCUUCGUAUAGUUGUCAGUAAUAACAUAUUAAAAUUUUUAAAAGCUUUGGUUGAACGGUUCAUGAGUUAAUGCACGGACAACAUUUGAUUGCCGCCCGCCCGCCCGCCCGCCCGCCCGCCGUACAUCCCCAAAUCAAUAACCGACAUUUUUGUCACAAAAAUCCGGUUAAAAAGUGAGCUUUGAAGUAAUCCUCUGGCACAACUAAUGAAGGUUGCAAGAUUAUAUAUCUACUAGGGUCAAGGGAAGCCCAGCCACAAUGUAAUUUGAUUUGUAGUAAUGAAUUAUAAAAUAAGGAAAAAGAAGGGUGAGGGUGUCAGAUGGGGUAAAAUUUUCUAAUGCUAAUAAAUAAAAAAAUACAAAAGAAGCUCCAAAUAAUCAUACCUGCCAACUUUUCAAAUGCCCAUGGGGGUUUUGAGUGCAAGAUGGCUGUCAUAGUCCUAAAAAACCUUCAAGGGGGCCUUCAAAUACAUUUUAAUGUUGUUUUUUGGCUUCUUCAUACCUUUACAAGCCUAAUGUCAUUGUAAAAUUAAUUGUUUUGUUAGAAAUUAUGGACAAAAUUGCUCUUUCAAAAUUUCAAUUUGGAAGCCUCCAUAGGGGAAAGGGAGAGAUCCGUUUGCGCCAAAAAUGCGUCUUUUUGCGCCACAAUUUUUUUCUCCAAUGCUACGUUUGCGCCACCUGUUUUAAAAUUACAUGGUAUCAUUUGCGCCAAAAAUAAAACAUACGAUUGCGCCAAUUAGAAGAAAAAUAACGUCCCUCCUCCUUUAUUUGGACUUGGAACCGGCAGUUUACACGGCAAAUGUUUCCUUUUCUGAAACAUACUUUCUUGUUACUGCUGCUGGAUGGGUUCUUCCCAAUUUGAUGUAUGUAGUAGCAUGUAACUUCACUUUAUUGUUCAAAAGGACAAACAUUGAAGGAUGAAAUGCAGAAAACAGAUCAUUAUAAUGCGGUAGAUAGAGUUUCAGCCCAUACGGAUGGUGGGAACAAAGCACGGUGUCAUCAACAUACAUGUAUGUGGCUAAAACAUAAUCAGCAAAAGCUUAUAUGUUCUUCUUUUGGCAUAUCUUGUAUUAAAUAUUCAGCAAACCCAAAUUAAUAAGUUUUCUUCUCUCUAUGUGCAUGGACUGUCUAAUGCAUUUCAAGUCAUUUCUCUCCAGAUGCUCAUCUUCAUGGUGAAAUAUCUCCGAACAUAUGAUACUUUUUUAGCCAAAACUAAGAAUAAAUAUUAAUCAUUAAUAUUUAUGAUAGAUAUGUGUACAGGUAAAUUGGCGCAAAUGAGUUCCGAAUAUUGGCGCAAUCGAUACAUUUGGAAAACAAUAUUUGGCGCAAAUGAUACCCCUGAAAAACAGUAUUUGGCGCAAAAGGACUGCUGCCAGGGGAAAUCCCCCGCAAAUAGUGACAGUUGGCAGGUAUGAAUAAUUAAGAUAACAAGAUGGCCUAGAUGAUCAGGAAACAUUGUGAUGUGACUCUUGUUUAACUGCUUUUAAAGUUCAUUAGAAGGAGUCUAUUUUAACUUAAAUUGGCUAUAAAAUGCACUUAAGUGAGCCUUAUGCGAAAGUUAAAAUAAUUUUUCUCCGUUUACAAAAAAAGUGCACUGAAGUGCUCGUAUUGAUUUGUUACAAACAAACUACAGAUAUGCUGUGUUAUUACAUAUUGUAUCUUCACUAUGCUUAAAAAGAGUAGGGAAGCAAGAUUAUCUUGUUUGCUAAUGUUAGGGUUAUGUACUGAAUAUGUUCAAACGAGAUGUGAUUGAUUAAGAUUUUAAGUUUUGAUAAUUGCUACAUAUUUCUAGUUGUUCCUCAUGCUUUAACUUUGAAAAUAAUCUGUAAAUGUAAAUAUUCAUUUGACAGACAGAUGAUGCUUCUUUAUGAUUAUCCAAAGAAAAAAAAAUCAUACAUACCUUUCAAAUUUUCCGAAUUAAAUCUUCUAAAGAACAUAAAAAGUAAUUUAAAUUGUGAAGUACAUCAAUAAUCAAGCCAAAGCGUUAAUUACCAGGACUAUAUCUGGUCAUCCAUCACGUCAGAGGGGAUGAAAAAUCGGGAGAAAGAAUCGUAAUUUACAAGUCACGUCAAACAGUCUAUCAUGAUUAACUAUGUUUCUGUAAGACAAUUGCUCAUUAUAAAUAAGACUGACUAGCUGAUUGAUAUCACCAAAACCAAAUACAAAACUUUAAAUCGGUGAUCAAUAUAAAUAAUUUGGCAUGCAUAUCCCAGGGGUGUGGAAAUGCUAUGCCCGACUUGCCCGACUCGUACAUUUGAACAACCGGACAAGUAAUUAUUUUUGUCUGGGUUGCCCGUGGACAAGUAAAAAAUAAUAAAAGACAAAUUUCAAAUGCAACAGAAAUAUAGAAUUAAUUUCAACAUGUUCAAAAUGUAUAAAGAUGUUAAAUUUAUGUAAAAGAAACCAAUGGUCAGCGAGUAAAAACACAAAUGUUCAUGACGAUAAAUAUUACAUAAUAGCGGAAAUAGAUCGAUUAACAAAAUAAAUAAAAAUAAGUAUGCGAACCCGAGUUGCGUAACAUUGCAUUGGUUUUGUCCAUUGACACGGGACCGUCGAUUAGGUUUUAUCCAUGAAGUGUCAUUUGUAUAUGAUUUUGUAUCGAGAUUCAGAUUGAUAAAUACUUUAUAAAACACCGGGCAAGUAAGACAAAAAGAAUAUUGAGUCGAGUAAAAAACCCAAAACGCAAAUGAAGGAUAAGGAGUAUUAAAAAAAAAUACGGAAGCGAAAAUUCCAGACAUCGUGAAUAUCAGAUUGCACCUGGCUAUCUAUAGGAUGGAAAUUCGGAAAAUAAAUAAAUCUUUUGUCUUUAUAUUUAUAGAUCAAUGGUCAACAUUAUUUGUUGUCAGAGUGGUAAAUAGAAGGGACGGUUUAAUUGCCCAUCAAGACAAUUAUAAAAAAAAACAAAAAAACAAGUGUGUCAGUUAAGAGAAACAGCAAAAAAGUCAAUAGUUUAUCCAUUAUUUAAUUUCCAUUUCUUCACUCACUGUCCUUUAAAUUAAUUUAGUAUACCAUUAUAUGUACCUACUAGCUACAAUUUUUAUUCAAAAACUGCUGCAAAAAUUACCUUUACAUGUCAUUUCAUUGGUUGGUUUGCUGUAAGGUUUCUGUCCCAUAGAUGUUAACCUACUUUCCUAAAUUUUUACACAUGAUAAACAAAUGGGUUUCAUUUGUUGGUAAUGCAAAACAGUGCUAAGACUCAUAUCUUAACUACAAUAAAAUACUUCAAUAUUUAUUGGGACCAUCAGGGCUAGUAACUUUUUUUCCGGACAAGUGAACUUUACAGUUUUACUUGCCAAGGGACAAGUGCCCACAUCAAAUAUUUCCACACCCCUGUAUCCAAUAUGUGAUCAUAAGUUAGUUUUUCAGUAAUAGGUUGUAUUUAUUUCAUUAUCUAAAAAGCAUUUAUUUUUUAUAAAAGAUGAAGUUGUUAUGCAAUGAAUCUCAUUUUUCAAUUCACAAUAUGUCUAAUUGUUACAAUAAAUAAAAUGCAAGUCAGUUUCAGCACCUACACUAAGUCAUUAAUUACUGAUGUACAAUAAGGAAACUCAAAUAAUGAUGUAGAACUAUUUUAGAUUGUUUCUAAUUUAUUUUUGGUGUUUAAGGUACAAUGUACUCCCAAACAGCACCACAGGCUGCAUGCAUCAUUAUAGUAUCAAGGGAUGAGUUCAUUUGAGUAUAUGUCCUUUACAUUCAAAGAUACGUGGGUAAUGCAUCUUAAUUUGUCUAAAAUAUUUAUCAAAGUCAAAGGGUGCUUGAGGAAGUCUAAAAACAACAAAAAUAACUCAUAUAUAUAAGGAGUCAAUUAAUCAACAAUUUCAGUCAUGUUGACUAUAAUGAUGGGUAAAAAUUGUCAUUUCAGAGCGUUUCAAAUAAGGAUUGAGUCAAUUGGCUGUUUUGUUUUAGUUUACUUACUCCUGGAGUUGGUUUCACAAAAAUACUUACGACUAAGAUUGAUCAAAAGUCAUGAACAAUUCAGCAUACUUGCAUCAAUCUUAGUUGUAAAAUUUUUUGUGAAAGAGACUCCAUGUACUUGACCAGCUGAGUUAAUUUUGUCAGACAUUUUUAUGUUAUGACAAUGAAAAUGUUUGCCUUUCUUUAAUUGCUUUGCAUCCUUUGAAAGUAUCAAGGGGGAAUUAUUCAUAUUAUUCCUAAUUUUAGUAACAUUAGUGUUUGUCAAAACGGCAGAUUUUGCAUAAUUGACAUUACCUUCAGACUAUUAAUGAUUUUUUGGGACAGAUAAAAAAAUAAAAAGAUGUGAUAUAAUUGCCAAUGAGACAACUUCCUAUUAUUUUUUUACACUAUUUUUUAUUUUUUUAUUGGUGGAAAUUGAACUUAUUAUCAAAUCAAGUUCAUAAUUCAAAAUGUAUGACUCCAGUGAUUUGAAAAACAUUUCAAAUUAUCUAUUGCUAUACAUUUUGUAAUUUGUUCACUCAUUUUUCCAUCUGAUUGCCUAAAAAUGAAACUGAACAGAAGAACUGAACAAGUCUUGCAUGAUUCUAUAUCGAUGUGAGACAUCAAAGAGAUGAGUAGGUAAGGGACAUUAAAUUUUAUGCACUCUUUGACACAUAGCAGGAAAGUAUGGAAUGAAUAAAUACUGAAAAUAUUGCUAUGAAUGACAACUUGAUGCUCUCAAGAGCCUAAAUCACCCACAUGGUUUAACAUACUUGGCAUUUUAACCUUAAGCAACAGUGACAGCAUGACUUUUCUCUAAAUAAGGAAUAUUAUAACAAAUUGGAUCCAUAUAUCCAAAACUGAAAAGGAGGUUGACCUUUUCAAAACAAACAAAAAUAAAUUCAGGACAAUAUGUUCUCAAAUGUUGCUUUUCAUAUUUUAUUUUAAAACUUAAUUGACCGCUCUAAACUUAUAUUCAGAUAUGACACUUGGAUGAUCAAUAACCAUGGUAAAUUGUACAUAGCUUUAAAGACAUGUAUUAAUUUCCGUAGAACAAUGUUGUAAAGACAUGUAUUUCCAUUUUCCAACUUAUCAAGAAUUUCAGACCUGAAUAUUUGAAAAUCAUGUGAAAGGUGAAAGCACUUAAAGUUUGAUGGUAUUCUCUCUUCAAUUUUCCAUCUUAACACUGCUUCUAUUUUAAUCCACAUCAAAAUAGAACCUAAAUCAGCUAGUUAUGAAAUAAGUAGUUCUAUUAUUUCUACUUGAUUUGAAACAGAAUAAUUCUUGUUCUUGUUAUUAAAAAAGACAACUGACCAAUAACGUUCUGAUUGUGCCUGUCAACCAUGAUAUUAAGUUUGUCACUGGUUCUGAUGGGAGCUGAGUCAGGUUAGGAAAUUACAUCAAAUUCUAUCAUCCUGUUUACAGUAGAAGAAGGACAUUGUAGGUCAGGCUUAUAUUCAGCUAGAACACCAGACUGCCAUUGAUAUUGUGACAUUUAAAACCAUGCUUAAUCUAAAAAGUUUUCACAAAAAAAGUUGUUUUAAUACUCAGGUCUUAAGUAUCUACAGAGCAAAAUACUUAUUUUAACAAAUCUUCUAAAAAAUAGUUUCCUGCCCAUAUAGAUUUUCUAUUGAGCUGUAUUAUAUGGAAUGUAAAAGACAAAUGGAAAAAUGGAAGAUUAAUACAAAAAUGUUCAUAAACAAUAUAAUGUAACUAAUCAUGUAUGAAAUAUUUGCCACUGGACAUUAGACAAACAAUAGUCAAUCCAGUGCAGCUAGUAUGAAUGGCAUAGUUACUUACACCCUAGGUUUGAAUUAUCUAGAUAAUACUUUGUAAAAUAAAAUUAUUUGCUAAUAUUUGUACUACUUUUAAUUAGGAUUUAGUAUAAAAAAGAAGAUGUGGUAUGAUUACCAAUGAGACAACUGUCCAUAAGAGACCAAAAUGACACAGACAUUAACAACUAUAGGCCAGAAUUAAAAAUAUUUUGGUUUGCCCAAACCCUUCCGAAAGGUUACGACACAGUGGGUAGGUAGGUAGGCAUUAUUUUAAUUUAUUUUUUAAGGCAAAAAGAAAUUGAAGUGUUAAUAGAUGUUUUGUUUAUUCUUAAUGCCUAUCUGAUAAAAUAAAAUAAAAAAAAUCACAUCAGGACAAUAACAGAUUUUGAGUAGGCAGCUACUUUCUGGGUAGGUAGGGUUAGGGCAAAAAAACAUAUUCUUUUUUAUGGGUUUUGCUUUCAUUUCCCAUGUCAGCACAUGAUCAAUAUAUACUGAAAAUCAACAUUUUUUUCAAACAACAAUAUACAAAGACAUCUUAAAACAAAUGAUUUCGCCAUCACUUAUUGGCCAAAAUAGGUCAGGUGAGCUUAAGGAAAAGUCAGAAGGGGAGAAAACUUCAUAAGGGGACACCAAGAAGACACAAUUCAAGGACAACACAGGAGAGGAGUACACUUAAUAUAGGACACCAUGAAGAAAAAUUUAACAAAGGACAAUUUAGUAGAUUAUAAAAUGUCCAAAGAAGACAUCAAAAAGAUACAUUUCAAGAAGGAAAACUCAGAAGAUGGAGAACACUUCAUAGAGGACACAAAGAAGACACAUUCAACAAAGGACAACUUAGUAGAUAAUAAAAUGUCCAAAGAAGGCAUCAAAAAGAUACAUUUCAAGAAAGAACAACUCAUUAGAAAAUAACAUUUCACGAAGGGCACCAACAAGAACAUUUCAUUGAGGACACCAAUUUUAAUAGACAAAUUUAAAAAGGAAAACUCAGAAAGGGAUGACAUUUCAUAGAGGAAACCAUGAAGACACAUUUCAAGAUGGAUAACUUAGUAGGAGAUAACAAAUCAUAUAGAACACCAAGGACAUAUCUAUUACAAUUCAAAGGUGGCAUCAAGAAGACACAUUCCAAGGAGGAUGCCAAUAAGAAUCAUUUCAUGAAGGAAAUUUCAGUAGGAGACAACAUUUCAUAUUGGCAACCAAAAAAACAGGUUUCAAGAAGGACAAAUCAGAAGGUAAAAACAUUUAGAUGAAAAACUCAGUAGUGGUGAACACUUCAUAGAGAACACCAAGAAGAUACAUUUCAAGGAGGGCAACUCAGUAGUGAAGAACACUACAUUAAAGACACCAAUAAGAACAACACAGUAGGGAAGAACACUUUAUAGAGGACACCAAGAAGAUACAUUCAACAAAGGACAACUCAGUAAGAUGUAAAAUUUCUUACAGGACACAAAUCAGACACAUUUCAAGAACAACUGAGGAGGGGAGAACACUUCAUCAAAAUCACAUAGAAAACACAUUCCAAAAAAGGACAAUUCAGUAGGAGAUAAUAUUUUAAGAAGGAUAACUCAGAAGGGGAGAACACGUAAUUAAAUGACACCAAGAAGACACCUUCCAAGAUGGAUAACUCAGCAGAGGCAAACACUUUAUAUGAUAUUGUCAUUGGCUAUCAUGGCAUAUUCAAGAUAUGUUUGACCUCAAUCUAUUUGUAUCGAUCACAAACAAAAAACUCCAACCAAACAUUUGGAGUAAAAGAGUUUGACUAUUUGGUUAUAUUUGUUUGACAAUCUUUUCUUUCUGUACACAAUACAAUCUCAAAUACAAUUUUUAACUUACUUAUUAUAUACUAUCUUGAUCAAUGUUAAAUGUUACUUAACAUGUUAAUUUCUUUUAUUUUUUUUAACUGAAAAUACAUGUUUACAUGAUACAUGUACUUUUCUGUAGUGGUUGCAUAUGUUGCUUACAUAUUUCUAUGGAUUUAUUUUUUUAUUUUUAUUCUAAUAAAUUGUGCGCUCCCAUGUACUUCUUGUUUAGCCAAUGGAAUCAAAGCACUAUUGCAUUGAUCAUACUUGUAAAGCCAAUGGAAUCAAAGCCCUAUAGCGUCAUUUUCCCUCGUGCUCAAACAAAUCUGUGUAUUUAUUAGGUAAUGCAAACAUUUCUUUAAAGUAUAUACUGUGGAUUCAUUUAUUUUCGUGGGUAUCAAUUUUCGUGGAUAGAGAAAAAAAGACGUUUCGUGGUAUACGUAAAUUCGUGGAUCGCUGAUUACAACAACAAAAAAUUAGAUAAUCAAUUCGUGGAUUUCUUUUUGAUUUAGGAGAUGAUAUAAAAUCCUUGGUUCUAUCAAUAAUAAAACAAAACAAAAAAGAAGGAAUUCAUUGAAAAAGUUUUGAAUUGUCAAAAUCCUCGCUUAAUUGGUCAUUCUAGGUUAAAGUGUUCAUUGAUAACUUCGAUUACAAUAAUGGACAGAGACAACUAAUAAUUUGUUUGUUUUACAAUUUAUAAAUUCUUGUCUGAAUUCUAUAAGGCAUUCAAAACUUUAUGAUUGAAAGCUAAUUUCCCUAAUCACGAUAUAAUAAACAGUGGUAUAAGUAUAAGGUGUGAAAAUAAACGUUCCUGUCAUAAACAAUAUUACCUACAGGGCAAUAUCCCCGUACUUAAUCCUAUUGAUUUUUAAUCACAGGUAAACCAAACUAUGACACGGUAAUUAACAACUUGCAGUUAUUUUCCAUGAACAGUUUUAAUCAAUUUUAAAAAGUAAAUUAUUACUGAUAUUCGAUAUAUUUAUUAUAGAUUUAAUCCAAAUACUUGUAUCUUCUUUCAAUAAAAAUCACGUGUUAUGUAACAAUGUUUAUCGCUAGUCAACAUUAUACUAGAACUGCAUAACAUAACCGGAAAUAAACAUCCAACUCCAUACAGAUUUCUCGGGAUUAUUCUUCGUUGAAUUCUUAAAUUCGUGGUUCGCUGUGACCCACGAAACCCACGAAAAUUGGUAUACCACGAAUAAAAAUGAAUCCACAGUAAUAGAUAUUUGGUUGUAUCUUACAUUUCAUUAGAAACAUGGUUAUAAAACAAAUUGCACUGAAAGUUGAAUUAUAUCUCUCAUAUCUUUCAAAUUUCUAGCUGCUUUAUGGCGUAAUGACUCAACAAUAAGGACUGUCCAUUGACAUGAUUGAAAAAUCUAUGUAACAAUGUAUAAAAAGGAUGUGGUAUGAUUGCCAAUGAGACAACUAUCCACAAUAGACCAGAAUGACACGGAUAUUAACAACUCUAGGUCACUGUACGGCCUUCAACAAUGAGCAAAGCCCAUACCUCAUAGUGAGCUAUAAAAGGCCCCAAAAUGAACAAAUAAACAAAUAUGUAACACAUAAACAAAUGACAACCACUAACUUACAGGUUCCUGACUUGGGACAGGCACAUACAUACAGAAUGUGGCUGGGUUAAACAUGUUAAGGGGGAUCCCAACACUCCCCUAAGCUGGGACAGUGGUGUAACCGUAUAACAUAAGAACAAACUAUAACAAGAGUGCACACGCUGAAAUGUCUCUCCUUCUAUACUAAUCAUUGAUAUUAUGUUGAUAGUCCUAAGUAUAAAGCUAAGCUUUAUUACAACUGUCACAUAAACUUAACAUUAACCAAGAUAACUAAACAAAGACCAAUGAACCUUGAAAAUGAGGUCAAGGUCAGAUGAACCAUGCCAGGCAGACCUGUACAGCUAACAAUGCUUCUAUACAACAUAUAUAGUUGACCCAUUACUUAUAGUUUAAGACAAGAGUGCACACGCUGAAAUGUCUCGCCUUCUAUACUAAUCAUUGAUAUUAUGUUUAUAGUCCUAAGUAUAAAGCUAAGCUUUAUUACAACUGUCACAUAAACUUAACAUUAACCAAGAUAAAUAAACAAAGACCAAUGAACCUUGAAAAUGAGGUCAAGUCAGAUGAACCAUGCCAGGCAGACAAGUACAGCUAACAAUGCUUCUAUACAACAUAUAUAGUUGACCCAUUACUGAGAGUUUAAGAAAAAUAGACCAAAACACAAAAACUUAACACUGUGCAAUGAACCGUGAAAAUGAGGUCACGGUCAUAUAAAACCUGCACGACUGACAUAAAGAUCAUAAAAUAUUUCCAUACACCAAAUAUAGUUGACCUAUGGCAUAUACAUUUGUAAGUAUUAGAUAAAAAGACCAAAACUCAAAAACUUAACUUUGACCACUGAACCAUGAAAAUGAGGUCAAGGUCACAUGACAUCUGCCCGCUAGACAUGUAUAGCUUACAAUCAUUCCAUACAACAAAUAUAGUAGACCUAUUGCAUAUAGUAUGAGAAAAACAGCCCAAAACACAAAAAUUUAACUAUAACCACUGAACCAUGAAAAUGAGGUCAAGGUCAGAUGACACCUGCCAGUUGGACAUGUACACCUUACAGUCCUUCCAUAGACUGAAUAUGCUAGCCCUAUUGCUUAUAGUAUCUGAGAUAUGGACUUGACUACCAAAACUUAACCUUGUUCACUGAUCCAUGAAAUGAGGUCGAGGUCAAAUGAAAACUGUCUGACAGACAUGAGGACCUUGCAAGAUACGCACAUAUCAAAUAUAGUUAUCCUAUUACUUAUAAUAAAAGAGAAUUCAACAUUACAAAAAAUUUAAACUUUUUUUUCAAGUAGUCACUGAACCAUGAAAAUGAGGUCAAGGUUAUUGGACAUGUGACUGACAGAAACUUCGUAACAUGAAGCAUCUAUAUACAAAGUAUGAAGCAUCCAGGUCUU
Molecule: long non-coding RNA, 29328 nt
Filed under: Mytilus galloprovincialis (Mediterranean mussel)
Lineage: Eukaryota; Metazoa; Mollusca; Bivalvia; Mytilida; Mytilidae
Source: RNAcentral